RNAcentral lists this ribosomal RNA (1332 nucleotides) under uncultured bacterium. Its description in RNAcentral is "bacterial SSU rRNA". It matches the Rfam family "Bacterial small subunit ribosomal RNA", at positions 28 to 1382 of the family's 1533-position model. The record is from RNAcentral.
GACGAACGCUGGCGGCGCGCCUAACACAUGCAAGUCGAACGAGCGAGAGAGAGCUUGCUUUCUCGAGCGAGUGGCGAACGGGUGAGUAACGCGUGAGGAACCUGCCUCAAAGAGGGGGACAACAGUUGGAAACGACUGCUAAUACCGCAUAAGCCCACGGGUCGGCAUCGACCAGAGGGAAAAGGAGCAAUCCGCUUUGAGAUGGCCUCGCGUCCGAUUAGCUAGUUGGUGAGGUAAUGGCCCACCAAGGCGACGAUCGGUAGCCGGACUGAGAGGUUGAACGGCCACAUUGGGACUGAGACACGGCCCAGACUCCUACGGGAGGCAGCAGUGGGGAAUAUUGCACAAUGGGGGAAACCCUGAUGCAGCGACGCCGCGUGGAGGAAGAAGGUCUUCGGAUUGUAAACUCCUGUUGUUGAGGAAGAUAAUGACGGUACUCAACAAGGAAGUGACGGCUAACUACGUGCCAGCAGCCGCGGUAAAACGUAGGUCACAAGCGUUGUCCGGAAUUACUGGGUGUAAAGGGAGCGCAGGCGGGAAGACAAGUUGGAAGUGAAAUCUAUGGGCUCAACCCAUAAACUGCUUUCAAACUGUUUUUCUUGAGUAGUGCAGAGGUAGGCGGAAUUCCCGGUGUAGCGGUGGAAUGCGUAGAUAUCGGGAGGAACACCAGUGGCGAAGGCGGCCUACUGGGCACCAACUGACGCUGAGGCUCGAAAGUGUGGGUAGCAAACAGGAUUAGAUACCCUGGUAGUCCACACCGUAAACGAUGAUUACUAGGUGUUGGAGGAUUGACCCCUUCAGUGCCGCAGUUAACACAAUAAGUAAUCCACCUGGGGAGUACGACCGCAAGGUUGAAACUCAAAGGAAUUGACGGGGGCCCGCACAAGCAGUGGAGUAUGUGGUUUAAUUCGACGCAACGCGAAGAACCUUACCAAGUCUUGACAUCCUGCGACGAUGCUGGAAACAGUAUUUUCCUUCGGGACGCAGAGACAGGUGGUGCAUGGUUGUCGUCAGCUCGUGUCGUGAGAUGUUGGGUUAAGUCCCGCAACGAGCGCAACCCUUACUGUCAGUUACUACGCAAGAGGACUCUGGCAGGACUGCCGUUGACAAAACGGAGGAAGGUGGGGAUGACGUCAAAUCAUCAUGCCCUUUAUGACUUGGGCUACACACGUACUACAAUGGCGUUAAACAAAGAGAAGCAAGACCGCGAGGUGGAGCAAAACUCAGAAACAACGUCCCAGUUCGGACUGCAGGCUGCAACUCGCCUGCACGAAGUCGGAAUUGCUAGUAAUCGUGGAUCAGCAUGCCACGGUGAAUACGUUCCCGGACCUU